This 649-nucleotide long non-coding RNA is filed under the name Manihot esculenta (cassava). RNAcentral describes it as "long non-coding RNA (MESC_LNC001882)". The record is from RNAcentral. Lineage: Eukaryota; Viridiplantae; Streptophyta; Magnoliopsida; Malpighiales; Euphorbiaceae.
AGGAUCUAUUCUUUGACGGCAAUCUACUCAGAGAUGGUCAAAGGCUAGUUGAUUGUGGUGUUCGGAGGAACUGCACUCUUCAUCUUAUUGUCCAAAAUCCUGUUAUAAUCAAAUUAUUGGUCAAAAUACCAUCUGAUCCGAGAAUUAUCAUGGUGGAAGCAAAAACUUGUGAUACUAUCCACAAUGUCAAAUUGAUGAUUCAGUCAAAGGAGGGGAUUCUGUCAGAUAACUUCACUCUUGUCCAUGAUGGACAUCUACUCGAAGAUGAAAGUACUCUGGCCUCCCUCAAUAUACGGAGCAAUUCAAAUAUUCAUUUGGUUUUUUGUCAGAAAGAAGUGCCAUCUAUUUUUGUGAAAGCACCUAAUAAAGAUACCGUGCAACUCAGAGUUAAAGUUAUGUUUACUGUUGAUGAUAUCAAAGCGAUUUGUGGUAGCAUCAUUGGUGUUUCAGUCAGUGGGUGUAAUAUGUUUUGUGCUGCAAAACGGCUUGAGGGUUCCAAAACCCUGGCCUUUUAUGAUAUCAAAGAAGGAUCUCUGUUGGAGCUAUUACCUUCUUCAAUGCAGAUAUUUGUUAAGACUUGGAUUGGAAAAACCCUAGUCCUUGAUGUGAAGGAACAUGAUACUGUGAAGCAUAUCAAGCAACAGAUUUU